This is a long non-coding RNA of Phyllostomus discolor (pale spear-nosed bat), 1173 nucleotides long. RefSeq lists it as uncharacterized. The record is from RefSeq and is a predicted model, not a curated record. NCBI's taxonomy places the organism in Eukaryota, Metazoa, Chordata, Mammalia, Chiroptera, Phyllostomidae. The transcript has 2 exons.
CCCCGCCCCCUCCCCCUCCCCCUUACCCCCCUUCCCCGCGGGCUUUUCAGGAAAUGACGUCCCACCUAGCGCCGGGCGGUUGCCUGGAGACGGGGUGAAACAGUCCAGCCCCAGGGAAAAAGGGGUGAAAGUGGGAGUAGGGUUGGGAGGAGCUCCGGGGGUCCUCUUCACUUUUCCAGCAGAGAGUGAACCUCAAAAACGGCUCUUCCGCGAUGGAAGCAUGUGCAUCAAGAUCUCUUUGAAGCAAUUAGUCGGCUAGCUAAAUUAACAAUUGUGGCGGAAAAUAGCCAACUUUUUGCCUCUAAAAUAUUGAACAUUUCGGGCUCAGUUUCCUACCUUAAAACGUUGCGCUCCCCUCUUGCACGCACUGACAUACAAGUUCAAGUGUUUAUGUGGACACUUGUUGGACACCCACUGUGUUCAAAAGAUACAUACAAGUAUAUACUGGUACCUGUGGGAGCCAACUCCUCUGCGAGGAUACAUCAGACUGGACCCCUUUCCAGCCUUCGGUAGGCAAGAAAACCGUUUUCAGAAAGGUCAAGUGUGCACAAUGCAGAUGUGCGUGCACACACACGGAAAUUCAUGCUUAUAAAACUGAUGAAAUCUGCAUAAGGUGGGAGGAUUGUAUUGAAGUCGUUGUUCAGCAUGUCCCCUCGAUGAGACGCAGCGUGUAACUGUGCUCAAACCUCAAGAAUCCUAUUUCAUGUCUGAAGAUGUGCUUGUUGUUCUGAAAUAAGGUCUUGGGAAUCCAAGAUGUCUGGGCUCCUGAGGGCUGCAAUGCCUCCUUCGGGCCCAGAGUGCAAGAGCAGACCUGGUCCUGGUUGCAUACUGCCCUCUUCAGAAGGAAAAUAUUAUUAUGCUGCAGGCUUCCCUUCGCUGUCUUCACCAAAGCCGCUUUACAUAGUUCAUUAUCCUUCCUCAACUCUGGCAAAUCAAGCCCUUCUCCGAUGGAUGUUCCUGGAAAAUCCCGAACACCUGGGAACGGUUGAAAAGACAGAAAGAAGAGUGAAUUGUACUCAGCUAAGAAGUGCUCUGUGUUGAACUGGAUUUUUGGUUGUUGUUGGUUUAUGAUGUGUUUGUUUUCAUCAAGAGACAGCAUAUCCGGUUGCAGUCUGGAUAACUCGCAGAAAGCCACAAAUCUAUUCUCAGAACCUCCCUUAUCUGGUUGAAAGA